AUGUCCAGAAGACGCUGUAUAUUUCGAUGCAAAACCAAAUUUCCCUUGAAUGGGCUCCCGAAGGAUGAAGAAGUUAAGAGUCAGUGGUUGCAGUUCAUUUUUAAGUCCAACACAAUUCCUCAGCAGUACAGCCCGAAGCUUGUACUGUGUUCCCAUCAUUUUACCGAGGACUGCUUUGAAAACCACGCACAGUUCAAAGCUGGGUACAGUAAACGGCUGAUCCUGAAAGAAGGAGCCGUCCCCACUGUGCUGGGCAGCGUCAAACCUGCAGAGUCAGGACCACAACCUCUUGAUCGACAGCCACAACACUCGAUGAGCCAGGCAGAAGGGACUAACUUUGAUGGGUGUUCGCAAGCAGCAACCAACCAAUCCGGCAUACUUGCUCAACCAUCGUUGCUCUUGUUGAAGCAGGGAGAAGGGGCCAACUUUGAUGGGAUUUUACAAACAGCAACCAACAAAUCCUGCAUUUUUGCUCGACCACCACUCCUCUCACUGAGUCAGGCAGAAGGGGCCAACUUUGAUGGGUGUUUACAAACAGCAACCAAUAAAUCCAGCAUAUUCACUCAACCACAGCUGCUCUUGCUGAGCCGAGGAGAAGGGGCCAACUUCCAGUUGUUGCAAACAGCAACCAACCAAUCCUGCAUAAGCACCGCUGCCAGCACCUGUCCAAUUUCUCCAACUGUCAGAGACGUCGCCUGCCAGACUGAUCCUCCAAAGAGAAUAUCUGUCGGCACACAGCUCUCCAUGAAAACUCUGCAGAGUCACUUCCGCAGUAAAGGUAUCCAGGCGAAAGCGGCCAGCAGAGAUUGCGGCGUGUGCACCCUCACCUUCCCUUUGGACAGUCCAUUACUGUUCCUUCAACCAACAAUAGUAAAGAGACCAUCCAAGAGACCUCGACUCAGCCUCACAGAUGAAGGGGAAGGCCCUUGCUUGUCUAUGGUGGUAAAUGAAUCCGAUGAUUCAAUAUGA
Molecule: long non-coding RNA, 969 nt
Filed under: Sparus aurata (gilthead seabream)
Lineage: Eukaryota; Metazoa; Chordata; Actinopteri; Spariformes; Sparidae
Description: lncRNA (ENSSAUG00010012387.1)
Source: RNAcentral